Molecule: transfer RNA, 67 nt
Filed under: Oedalechilus labiosus (hornlip mullet)
Lineage: Eukaryota; Metazoa; Chordata; Actinopteri; Mugiliformes; Mugilidae
Description: tRNA-Ser
Source: RNAcentral
GAGAGAGGCUCGCAGCAACGAAAACUGCUAAUUUUCGCAAACUUGGUUGAACUCCAAGUCUCACUCG